GAUAUAUGGCGAGACAUGCAAGGUCUUGGCAUUGUUUGGUAGGGUUCUACAAAUUUUGUUCAGCGUUUUGUCCUCUGUGUGGGAUUUCGAUCACAUUUUGCAGGAGUUUAGGUCCUACUGCAGCGGGGGUCUCUUGCAAGGACACUGCCUGGUGGUGUUUUGCCCAGCCUCCCACUGCGGCCGGAGGGUCGUGGUGAGCUGGUUGGAGGAUGAGAUAAGAUCGUGCGGAGGCGGCAAGGAAAGGGCGGCAAGUCGUAUGUUUACCUGAGCGUGAUCGAGGGGCAUUGCCCAUGUGGCGAUGUUGACAGUGGCGAGACAGGGGAGGUGGAUCCGGGGUCAUGGUGAUCUGCUCCAGCAUGCUAUUAGCUCCAGAGCGUUAUCUGAAUAUGCACGUGCCAGGUCAAACAACUGUUGUUGCUGGGUCUCUUGAUCGUCUCUAUGUAUGAGGGCCUUUAGCUUCAGGACAAACGGUUGUUGCUGCGGGGUCUCUCGGUUGUCUCGGUGUACGACGAUCUCCAGAUGAUGGCAAAGCCAAGGAUGAGGAUCAUGAUUCACCACCUUCUUUGGAUGAUCAAAGGUGAGGGCCAUGCAUGUUCAUAUGCUGGUGGCGCUUGAAAAUCGAUUCUUGC
Non-coding RNA from Lolium perenne, 629 nucleotides. The record is from RefSeq and is a predicted model, not a curated record. Lineage: Eukaryota; Viridiplantae; Streptophyta; Magnoliopsida; Poales; Poaceae.